Molecule: long non-coding RNA, 477 nt
Filed under: Prunus persica (peach)
Lineage: Eukaryota; Viridiplantae; Streptophyta; Magnoliopsida; Rosales; Rosaceae
Description: long non-coding RNA (PPER_LNC002800)
Source: RNAcentral
ACUUUCAAAAGCCUUUGGAUCAGAAAACUUCUUAUGAUAGCUUUCUGGAUCAACAGAAAAGUGCAUUUUCCCAAGCACCCAACAUGCAGUAUCCUGCUUCCCAGCAGGUGCCCCAUGUGUCCAAUACUUACCAGCCACCCUCACAAUCUGUACCAUCCCAUGCGUCUCAUACUUACCAAUCACCCUCACAACCUGUUCCAUCCCAUGCGUCUCAUAGCUACCAAUCAACCUCACAACCUGUUCCAUCCCAUGCGUCUCAUAGCUAUCAAUCACCUUCACAACCUGUUCCAUCCCAUGCGUCUCAUAGCUACCAAUCACCCUCACAACCUGUUCCAUCCCAUGCGUCUCAUAGUUACCAAUCACAUUCACAACCUGCUCCAUCUGUAGAUACACGAAGAGUAAAUAAGCUGCAGAUUCCAACAAACCCUAGAAUCACUUCAAAUCUGAACUUGGGUUUACCAAAAACUGAGAAAGAUA